Molecule: ribosomal RNA, 606 nt
Filed under: Nocardia abscessus
Lineage: Bacteria; Bacillati; Actinomycetota; Actinomycetes; Mycobacteriales; Nocardiaceae
Description: bacterial SSU rRNA
Rfam family: Bacterial small subunit ribosomal RNA
Source: RNAcentral
GCUUAACACAUGCAAGUCGAGCGGUAAGGCCCUUCGGGGUACACGAGCGGCGAACGGGUGAGUAACACGUGGGUGAUCUGCCUCGCACUUCGGGAUAAGCCUGGGAAACUGGGUCUAAUACCGGAUAUGACCUGCUGUCGCAUGGCGGUGGGUGGAAAGAUUUAUCGGUGCGAGAUGGGCCCGCGGCCUAUCAGCUUGUUGGUGGGGUAAUGGCCUACCAAGGCGACGACGGGUAGCCGGCCUGAGAGGGCGACCGGCCACACUGGGACUGAGACACGGCCCAGACUCCUACGGGAGGCAGCAGUGGGGAAUAUUGCACAAUGGGCGAAAGCCUGAUGCAGCGACGCCGCGUGAGGGAUGACGGCCUUCGGGUUGUAAACCUCUUUCGACAGGGACGAAGCGCAAGUGACGGUACCUGUAGAAGAAGCACCGGCCAACUACGUGCCAGCAGCCGCGGUAAUACGUAGGGUGCGAGCGUUGUCCGGAAUUACUGGGCGUAAAGAGCUUGUAGGCGGUUUGUCGCGUCGUCCGUGAAAACUUGGGGCUCAACCCCAAGCUUGCGGGCGAUACGGGCAGACUUGAGUACUGCAGGGGAGACUGGAAUUC